AUCAGCAUUCGUUCUCUCGCAAAGCCUCCCAAAUCAACCAAUUAAACGUCAACUAUACAGACUGUUAAAACGAGAGUGAAAGAAAGGAAUACGGAGAAGAACAAGGUUGUUAGGCCCGCGUGGACGUGAACAAUGUUGCGCAGCAGCUGCUCGUGUCGUUGCACGUUUAUUUGUUUGUUUGCAAAACUAGGUGAUAUCUGUGCACAUUAGAAACUGUUCAUUACAAACAUUACACCAUCAUUCUAAGUCACGGUCAAGAAGCAGCGGAGAAGAGUGUUUUUCCCCCUCCCCGGUGCAGAAGAGGGCUGGACUGCAGCGCAGUGUUCUGGCUGGAGCUCUGCCAUUGUUUGAGAUUCCUGACGCGAGUGUCUGGCUGGAAGGAUGUUUUGUGGUGGGAAUGUGGCUGGAAGACCGGCACUGGAAUCAACUUAGUCCUGUAUAACCAUAGUCUGUCUGAACACAUAAUUACAGCUGUCUACUUUUGACUUAUUUGCAGCCUGUUAUUACCCAUAGUCUUGUGUACUUCUACAAUGUAAUCUACACACGUUAUCACAACUUCACUCGUGCACAGAGACAGAAGACAUGAUGCAAACAGCAGAUAAAACUCUCGAGAGGAAAUAAAUCUGUAACUUCUAAAAUCUGAAAAGACAUUAAACUCACUCUCAGCAAUAACAUCCUCCACGACUUCAAUGGCCUCGUCAAACUCUCCGGUCUCCACCUGGACUGGGUUGGCUCCCACUUCCAGCUCCUGAAUUAUGAGACAACCAAGCCCAAUUUUAAACACUGCUUUCCUCUUUUAUGCAAGGAAAAUAUGUACAAGUUAAACUUUAUUUGGAUUAAAGGAAGCGCAUAAACCAUAUUACUGAA
Carassius carassius (crucian carp) is the source of this 867-nucleotide long non-coding RNA. RefSeq lists it as uncharacterized. NCBI's taxonomy places the organism in Eukaryota, Metazoa, Chordata, Actinopteri, Cypriniformes, Cyprinidae. The record is from RefSeq and is a predicted model, not a curated record. The transcript is spliced from 3 exons.